UUGAAUCAAUCCUGCCUCCUUUUGACUGAGUUGUUUUAAUGAGUCAUCAGCAGGGACUGCUUUUAGCCGGCUUUAGUUCAGUUUCUUUUUCACAGAUUCCUUGUUGUUUUGAUCUUGAAAUCGCCAAACCCUUAAGUUUGCUAAAUUAAGCCUGAAAAGGUUCAACAAACCAGUCCUGAGAGAAUUAGGGAGUGGAUGGCUGGGAUCUUACGUCCCAUUGAAGCCACGUUGGGUUCACCCGCUGAUUUUGGUGCCAAGGGAAAACUCCAAGUUAACACGGAUCAAAAUAGGAAACAGUUCCCUCAUCAAAGUCAGCUUUCCAAACCUCUGUUCAGGAUCCAAAAGAAAUGGGAAUGCCCUUGGCAAAAAAGGUGCUUUUGAGACAAAGCAAGCUUAAAAUGCCUGUAAGCAGGAAAUCCAGGAGAAAUGGCUGCUGGCAUCCUGGGCUUGCCAGGCAGGUUUUGUACUUGAUUGCAAGGCAGUUUUCCUGCCUCUGCACGGGGUGGUACCUGCAUCCCACUGGAAAGAGGAGAGAAAUAAUUCCCCUCCUUCCCUGGCCCAGCCCUGGAGUGGGAGCAGCUUGCCCUUAUCCUGGAGUUAUCCUGCUCCUGCCCAGCAUCCCUCUGGUACCCUCAUGUGCUUCCCGAGCUCCCAGCACCGAUGGAUCUAAACAAGGAGAACAAUCCCUGUUCCUUCUCUUCUCCAUCCUCGAUGUUCCUGGGCCCUGCAUCUCCCUGGCUAUUCCCUGUCUGACUCCUCAUCUCCAUCCCACCUUCUCCUGGUUGCAUCUGAGCCUGAGAUGUGUUUAGCAGCAAAUCCAUUCCUUUAAAGGAAGCCCAGUGCAAAGAGCAUCCAGCUGCAGGACAGGGAGAACCACUGAACUUGUCCUGGCCUUGCCAAGAGCUUUGGUGUUUGAGCUGCCAAACCCAAACUGGUCCUGAUGGUGGAGGACUUAAGAAAUUACUCAAUCCAACUAAAUAUUUUAAAAAGGGAGAUGGUUUGGUUAUAAAAAUAUUUCUGCCUGAGACUAGGAAGAGUUAAACCCCCCACUUCUGAGCAACAGCACAAGGAUUUUUUAAUUCUUUGCCUUUUUUUCCCUUCCUUUGAAUGGGUUUGUUUGUUUCCCCUUGGAGACUGCACACACAAUAGGCAGAUUUUUCAAGUAAGCCAUUUUUUCCCGCUUUUAGUCUUUACUGGAGCCCAGGUGCCAAUUGUUUGCUGCUUGGUUUCUGCCUUCCCUUUCCUGCCUACAACGUAACCCCUUUCUCUCCUUCCUGCUUUUUGGCCAUCACUGGUCAUGCAGAUGAUGCUGAUGCAGAUGGCUGAUAAAUAAUUAUCAAACAGCUUGGGAAUGGUCUGUAUCAGUAACAUUAAAAAAUGCAGUAUACAGACCAUCAACCAAUGAAUUUAGCAACAGUUGGAUAGUAAUUAAUCAUCUUUCCUUUGAAGCCCUCUUCAUAGCAUAUUUACUUUUAAAGGGAAAGCAUUUGGUUUUUAUUUUAAAAAAUACUACAAAUCACCAACAGCCAGCUUAAGUGAGCAUGGAAGACUGACAAAGACAUUGUAAUGUUUUUUCUUUUAAAUCCCUCACAACCCUAUCAUGUACUGGGGAGGCAGCAGCUCAGCGAGUUUCAGCCCAGAGCUGCCAUCCUGUGCUCAUGGAGAGCAACUUCUCCAGCUGUCCCAGCCUCAGGAAAGCACAGAAGAGGGCUUUACACAGAUCGGGGAUUAAGCUAGACCCAGGUUGGGCUCAGCUCAGUCACCAUGGCACUGUUAGAAGCCUUAAACCCUUUUUCUAUCAGAUUGAUUGUGGCUGUGGUGCAGCCACUGUGUUGCUGUCAAUGUGCUCCCCUGCAGCCUAGCCUGACAUGGUGAGCAGGGGCUUGGGGUUCUGCCUCAUGUGUUAAACAUCAAACCAGAAAAUAAAACAACAGAUAAAACCCCUACCCUGAGAUGUGCCUCACUCUGCACCACUGCUAUGAGAGGAGGGUGAAAGACCCAGUCAAUUUUAGCUCUGUAAAGAAGCUACAGAGCAGUGAUGAGCGCCUGAAUCACAUCCCCUGCAGCCAUCAGGGGAGUGAGGGCAGGGAAAAGGGCAGAGAAAGGGAAAU
Long non-coding RNA from Camarhynchus parvulus, 2111 nucleotides. RefSeq lists it as uncharacterized. Lineage: Eukaryota; Metazoa; Chordata; Aves; Passeriformes; Thraupidae. The record is from RefSeq and is a predicted model, not a curated record. The transcript is spliced from 2 exons.